Molecule: ribosomal RNA, 194 nt
Filed under: uncultured bacterium
Lineage: Bacteria
Description: partial 16S ribosomal RNA
Rfam family: Bacterial small subunit ribosomal RNA
Source: RNAcentral
CCUACGGGAGGCAGCAGUAGGGAAUAUUGCACAAUGGGCGCAAGCCUGAUGCAGCCAUGCCGCGUGUAUGAAGAAGGCCUUCGGGUUGUAAAGUACUUUCAGCGGGGAGGAAGGGAGUGAGGUUAAUAACCUCAUUCAUUGACGUUACCCGCAGAAGAAGCACCGGCUAACUCCGUGCCAGCAGCCGCGGUAAU